GGGAGUCUCUUAAUUUCAAAAAAAAAAAAACGAUUUUCUCUACGUUUCAAAAGCGCCGGGAGAUAAAUGAAUGUAGGGGUAUGAACGAGAAAUGAAGGAAAGAGAGAGAGAGAGA
Molecule: non-coding RNA, 115 nt
Organism: Caenorhabditis elegans
Lineage: Eukaryota; Metazoa; Nematoda; Chromadorea; Rhabditida; Rhabditidae
Source: Ensembl